CUUUAUCUUCACUCACUGUAGCUCUGCAUCUUUCCUCUCUCAAGCUCACACACUAAGAUUGGGGAAAAUGAUGCAAAAGUUCUCGUUUCGCCAUUUCUAAUUCCGUCAUUACAAAGAACAUCCAAAAAGAAAGAGGGAGGAUCCUGCCUCCAUAGAUUCUCUACAUUCAGCCAAGAAUAUGGCUUCCCUAGCUAGUUCAUGGACUGCCAGUGGACUUGUCUCCAAGCUUCAAUGAAAGUACUGGCUUCUCGAAUAAUGCUGCCGUGGUUGACAGGUAUGUUGUUCCAAACCUUCUGAUUUCUUGCUUUCCAUAGGCUCCAGCAGAUGGUUAAGAAGAGGCCCUGAUCGUGAUUGCUAAGCUUAUUUAAUGUGACCCUGAUCUAUUUCUUAUCUUCAAAUGAAGCAAAUACUUAAUUUUAAAACCUUACAACUACUUCACAAAUAAGAAGAGUUAAUAUUUGCCCCAACAAUAUCUUGUCUUGUCUCAUUUGGAAUCACGUGUAAUAAUAAUAAUAAUAAUAAUAAUAAUAAUAAUAAUAAUAAUAAUAAUAAUAAGGGAUAAGGGUCAAAUAACACCCUCUACUACUCAAGAAAGUUCAAUUAGCACCCUAAACUCAAAAAAUAUUCAAAUAGCAUCCUCUACUACUCAAGA
Ipomoea triloba (trilobed morning glory) is the source of this 652-nucleotide long non-coding RNA. RefSeq lists it as uncharacterized. The record is from RefSeq and is a predicted model, not a curated record. The transcript is spliced from 3 exons. NCBI's taxonomy places the organism in Eukaryota, Viridiplantae, Streptophyta, Magnoliopsida, Solanales, Convolvulaceae.